GUUUCCUGCCCGUAACUCAGCCACUGAACUCGGAGGCAGUUUACUGACUCUGUCCCCGUUGGAAACGAGUCCACAGCCAUGGGUGACCCAGAACAUGAACAACACCAAGAGCAGAAAGAGUUCGCUGAUGGAGGAAAGAGAAAGCUUGAUGCUUUCGAACUUGCCAAACAGAGAGCUCAAGAAAUAGCCUCGAGAAUCGCUAGUGACGCUGACCAGAAACGCCCUCGACUCCUCUCCGAAAACUCGUCCGAGCCUUCAUUGUUCUCAAGUUCGGUGUCUGCCCCCCCCUCUUUCCC
This 296-nucleotide unclassified non-coding RNA is filed under the name Hevea brasiliensis (rubber tree). The record is from RNAcentral. Lineage: Eukaryota; Viridiplantae; Streptophyta; Magnoliopsida; Malpighiales; Euphorbiaceae.